CUGUGGAUAGGGGUGAAAGGCUAAACAAAUCUGGAGAUAGCUGGUUCUCCCCGAAAACUAUUGAGGUAGUGCCUCGUGUAUGGCUCCAGGGGGUAGAGCACUGUUAUGGCUAGGGGGACAUGGCGUCUUACCAAACCAUGGCAAACUCCGAAUACUUGGAAGUCGAAGCACGGGAGACAGAGCACCGGGUGCUAACGUCCGGACUCAAAAGGGAAACAACCCAGACCGCCGGCUAAGGUCCCUAAUAUGAACUGAGUGGAAAACGAAGUGGGAAGGCUAAGACAGUCAGGAAGUUGGCUUAGAAGCAGCCAUCCUUCAAAGAAAGCGUAAUAGCUCACUGAUCGAGUCUUCCUGCGCGGAAGAUGUAACGGGGCUAAGUUCAUAACCGAAGCCGCGGAUUCACACGCAAGUGUGAGUGGUAGGGGAGCGUUCUGUAAGCCUGCGAAGGUGACUCGCAAGGGUUGCUGGAGGUAUCAGAAGUGCGAAUGCUGACAUGAGUAACGUUAAAGCGGGUGAAAAGCCCGCUCGCCGUAAGCCCAAGGUUUCCUGCUCUACGUUCAUCGGAGCAGGGUGAGUCGGCCCCUAAGGCGAGGCUGAGAAGCGUAGCUGAUGGGAACAAGGUUAAUAUUCCUUGACCGCCGUUGAGUGCGAAGGGGGGACGGAGUGUUGAAGAUCAUCCGGGUGUUGGAUGUCCCGGUUUCCGCGCGUAGGAGGUCUGCAGGCAAAUCCGCAGACGAAUCUCCGAGGCAAAGGAUCGAGUCCCAUUGGGGACGAAGUGAUUGGAUGGACUUCCAGGAAAAGCCUCUAAGCUCCAGCUCAACGGGACCGUACCGCAAACCGACACUGGUGGGCGAGCUGAAUAUGCUCAGGCGCUUGAGAGAACUCAGGAGAAGGAACUCGGCAAAUUGACACCGUAACUUCGGGAUAAGGUGUGCCUUGGUAGCGUGGAGGGAGAAACACCCCGAGCGUGAAGAGGUCUCAGAGAAUCGGUGGCUGCGACUGUUUACUAAAAACACAGCACUCUGCAAAGACGAAAGUCGACGUAUAGGGUGUGAUGCCUGCCCGGUGCUGGAAGAUUAAUUGAUGGGGUGCAAGCUCCUGAUCGAAGUCCCAGUAAACGGCGGCCGUAACUAUAACGGUCCUAAGGUAGCGAAAUUCCUUGUCGGGCAAGUUCCGACCUGCACGAAUGGCAUAACGAUGGCCACACUGUCUCCUCCUGAGACUCAGUGAAGUUGAAGUGUUUGUGAUGAUGCAAUCUCCCCGCGGCUAGACGGAAAGACCCCAUGAACCUUUACUG
RNAcentral lists this ribosomal RNA (1297 nucleotides) under human gut metagenome. RNAcentral's name for it is "bacterial LSU rRNA". It matches the Rfam family "Bacterial large subunit ribosomal RNA", at positions 809 to 2106 of the family's 2925-position model. The record is from RNAcentral.